UACGUAGGGUGCGAGCGUUGUCCGGAUUUAUUGGGCGUAAAGAGCUCGUAGGCGGCUUGUCGCGUCGACUGUGAAAUCCCGCGGCUCAACUGCGGGUCUGCAGUCGAUACGGGCAGGCUAGAGUUCGGUAGGGGAGACUGGAAUUCCUGGUGUAGCGGUGAAAUGCGCAGAUAUCAGGAGGAACACCGGUGGCGAAGGCGGGUCUCUGGGCCGAUACUGACGCUGAGGAGCGAAAGCGUGGGAAGCGAACAGG
Molecule: ribosomal RNA, 253 nt
Filed under: uncultured bacterium
Lineage: Bacteria
Description: partial 16S ribosomal RNA
Rfam family: Bacterial small subunit ribosomal RNA
Source: RNAcentral